AGAGUUUGAUCCUGGCUCAGAUUGAACGCUGGCGGCAUGCUUUACACAUGCAAGUCGGACGGCAGCACAGAGAAGCUUGCUUCUUGGGUGGCGAGUGGCGAACGGGUGAGUAAUAUAUCGGAACGUACCGAGUAAUGGGGGAUAACUAAUCGAAAGAUUAGCUAAUACCGCAUAUUCUCUGAGGAGGAAAGCAGGGGACCUUCGGGCCUUGCGUUAUUCGAGCGGCCGAUAUCUGAUUAGCUAGUUGGUGGGGUAAAGGCCUACCAAGGCGACGAUCAGUAGCGGGUCUGAGAGGAUGAUCCGCCACACUGGGACUGAGACACGGCCCAGACUCCUACGGGAGGCAGCAGUGGGGAAUUUUGGACAAUGGGCGCAAGCCUGAUCCAGCCAUGCCGCGUGUCUGAAGAAGGCCUUCGGGUUGUAAAGGACUUUUGUCAGGGAAGAAAAGGCUGUUGCUAAUAUCGACAGCUGAUGACGGUACCUGAAGAAUAAGCACCGGCUAACUACGUGCCAGCAGCCGCGGUAAUACGUAGGGUGCGAGCGUUAAUCGGAAUUACUGGGCGUAAAGCGAGCGCAGACGGUUACUUAAGCAGGAUGUGAAAUCCCCGGGCUCAACCUGGGAACUGCGUUCUGAACUGGGUGACUAGAGUGUGUCAGAGGGAGGUAGAAUUCCACGUGUAGCAGUGAAAUGCGUAGAGAUGUGGAGGAAUACCGAUGGCGAAGGCAGCCUCCUGGGAUAACACUGACGUUCAUGCUCGAAAGCGUGGGUAGCAAACAGGAUUAGAUACCCUGGUAGUCCACGCCCUAAA
RNAcentral lists this ribosomal RNA (809 nucleotides) under uncultured bacterium. RNAcentral's name for it is "bacterial SSU rRNA". It matches the Rfam family "Bacterial small subunit ribosomal RNA", at positions 8 to 806 of the family's 1533-position model. The record is from RNAcentral.